UAAAAUGGCGACCACGCCCCCGGUAGUUUGUUUGUGUACGAUUGUGUUUUGUUUUAGCAUUUUUUUCCCACGGGUUUACCCACCCCCAAGGCCCCAAGAUGUAUGUAAAGACUUAAAGGGUUGCAAUAUGGUAAAAGACCUUGAAGGGUCUAAAGCCUCCAACCAUUACCACUCAAUCAAUCUCAAAUCGUAUAAAUGAAGAGUUCUUGGGUUGUAACUUGAGAUCUGUUAGUUAUAUUGAACAAAUCGUAGAGGGCUUUAUUAUAGAUCUCAAUGAGGUCUACAAGAAUGAGCCUAUACAUUUUUUUUGUAAACUCAACAGUUUUUGAGAUAUUAGGCUCGGAAAUGAUAACAUGUUCUCUCUGUUCCUGAACCCUUAAACUCUUUGGUAUGGAACAGGAAGGAGGUCCUGGAUGACAAAAAGACUUAUUGGGAAGAGCAUAGAGGAUCCUUUAAUUUCUCCAUGAAGAACCAAUAAAGAAAAAUGACCAGCCGAGGUCGGGACCUGCUCGAGUGGUGCUAAAAGAUCAUAAAGGCUACUCAUACAUGGAAUUUGAUGCUUAUAUCCAAAAAUUGUAACCAAAGGACCUCAUGUAUCUCUGCGAGACAGUGUUCCUCAGCCCCAAGAAGCCCUGGGUGGAAAAAAAGGCGUCUAUAACUGAAUCAGAUUGCUAGGAUUUUCCAGCAGCAACAAAACGUGUUCAGUUGAACCUUGUUACUCCCACAGGAUCACCUAGGAGGCCCUGUAAGUGUCAUUCCAGUUGUUUUUCUCAAAUUUCUUGUGUUACUUCGGGGUCAUUUUUAGUGUCACCUGUGAGAAAACAAACUGUACGUUAAAAAAGGAGAAAAAGUAAUGAUGGAGAUGAUGGUAUAGGAGAAUUCAACAGAAUAACUAGAGUUAUUUUUUGCUUGGGAUAGGAGCGACUCGGAGUACCGCUACUACAAGUCCUCCACCUCGCCCCUGAUCCCCAUUCCGCCCUCCAUCUACGAGGAGGUGCCCCAGUUCCUGAAAUUCAUCAUCUGCUGCGAGUAUCCGAUGUACGACUCCCUCAACGAGAAAAC
Molecule: long non-coding RNA, 1062 nt
Organism: Anthonomus grandis grandis
Lineage: Eukaryota; Metazoa; Arthropoda; Insecta; Coleoptera; Curculionidae
Exons: 3
Source: RefSeq, a predicted model, not a curated record